Molecule: non-coding RNA, 74 nt
Organism: Lyophyllum atratum
Lineage: Eukaryota; Fungi; Basidiomycota; Agaricomycetes; Agaricales; Lyophyllaceae
Source: the annotation of a GenBank genome assembly
GGCUACCUAGCUCAGUGGUUAGAGCAACCUGUCUAGUUUGCAGGAGGUCCCAGGUUCAAUUCCUGGUGUAGUCA